AAUAAAUAUACAGUCCCUGAAGUACAGUCCAUUUGCAUCUCCUAAAUAUGCGGUUCUACGAUUUUGUCCAAAAUAUAAAUUUCAUCAAUAUUAGCAAAAAUAUCCAAAUUACAAAAUGUUAAUUAACUAUUAUGCAUUAACCCAGUUCUAUGACUUUGUCCAAAAUAUACAUUUCAUCAACAUUAAAUAGGCAAGACAGGUGCUACUCUCCCAUUGUUGGUUGACAUAAUUAGGCACCAGAUUACUUCCUGCC
RNAcentral lists this unclassified non-coding RNA (253 nucleotides) under Hevea brasiliensis (rubber tree). Lineage: Eukaryota; Viridiplantae; Streptophyta; Magnoliopsida; Malpighiales; Euphorbiaceae. The record is from RNAcentral.